Long non-coding RNA from Bombus impatiens (common eastern bumble bee), 105 nucleotides. RefSeq lists it as uncharacterized. Lineage: Eukaryota; Metazoa; Arthropoda; Insecta; Hymenoptera; Apidae. The transcript has 3 exons. The record is from RefSeq and is a predicted model, not a curated record.
UACGUUCGAGAAUUUAAACAAGCUCGCGCAGCCUUCGAGCCAUUCGCACAAUUUGUGUAGUACGUACUACGGGCUAUGCCCGUAAUAUAUACGCUUACCGCGAUC